This 92-nucleotide transfer RNA is filed under the name Caudoviricetes sp. RNAcentral's name for it is "tRNA-Ser". It matches the Rfam family "tRNA". From Rfam's summary of the family: Transfer RNA (tRNA) molecules are approximately 80 nucleotides in length. Their secondary structure includes four short double-helical elements and three loops (D, anti-codon, and T loops). Further hydrogen bonds mediate the characteristic L-shaped molecular structure. tRNAs have two regions of fundamental functional importance: the anti-codon, which is responsible for specific mRNA codon recognition, and the 3' end, to which the tRNAs corresponding amino acid is attached (by aminoacyl-tRNA synthetases). tRNAs cope with the degeneracy of the genetic code in two manners: having more than one tRNA (with a specific anti-codon) for a particular amino acid; and 'wobble' base-pairing, i.e. permitting non-standard base-pairing at the 3rd anti-codon position. The record is from RNAcentral. Lineage: Duplodnaviria; Heunggongvirae; Uroviricota; Caudoviricetes.
GGAGGAGUACCCAAGUGGUUAUAAGGGGGCGCACUUGAAAUGCGUUAGGACGUUUAGAAGACGUUGCAGGGGUUCAAAUCCCUUCUCCUCCG